UGGGGAAUAUUGCACAAUGGGCGCAAGCCUGAUGCAGCCAUGCCGCGUGUGUGAAGAAGGCCUUCGGGUUGUAAAGCACUUUCAGCGAGGAGGAAGGUGGUGAACUUAAUACGUUCAUCAAUUGACGUUACUCGCAGAAGAAGCACCGGCUAACUCCGUGCCAGCAGCCGCGGUAAUACGGAGGGUGCAAGCGUUAAUCGGAAUUACUGGGCGUAAAGCGCACGCAGGCGGUUUGUUAAGUCAGAUGUGAAAUCCCCCGGGCUCAACCUGGGAACUGCAUUUGAAACUGGCAAGCUAGAGUCUCGUAGAGGGGGGUAGAAUUCCAGGUGUAGCGGUGAAAUGCGUAGAGAUCUGGAGGAAUACCGGUGGCGAAGGCGGCCCCCCUGGANGAAGACUGACGCUCAGGUGCGAAAAGCGUGGGGAGCAAACAGAUUAGNUACCCUGGUAGUCCACGCUGUAAACGAUGUCGAUUUUGGAGGUUGUCCCCUNAGGCGUGGCUUUCCGGGAGCUAACCNCGUUAAAUCGACCNCCCUGGGGGAGUNGGCC
This 546-nucleotide ribosomal RNA is filed under the name uncultured bacterium. RNAcentral's name for it is "partial 16S ribosomal RNA". It matches the Rfam family "Bacterial small subunit ribosomal RNA", at positions 355 to 887 of the family's 1533-position model. The record is from RNAcentral.